RNAcentral lists this ribosomal RNA (465 nucleotides) under Vreelandella stevensii. Its description in RNAcentral is "partial 16S ribosomal RNA". It matches the Rfam family "Bacterial small subunit ribosomal RNA", at positions 338 to 795 of the family's 1533-position model. The record is from RNAcentral. Lineage: Bacteria; Pseudomonadati; Pseudomonadota; Gammaproteobacteria; Oceanospirillales; Halomonadaceae.
CCUACGGGGUGCUGCAGUGGGGAAUAUUAGACAAUGGGCGAAAGCCUGAUCCAGCCAUGCCGCGUGUGUGAAGAAGGCCUUCGGGUUGUAAAGCACUUUCAGUGGGGAAGAAAGCCUUGGGGCUAAUACCCUCGAGGAAGGACAUCACCCACAGAAGAAGCACCGGCUAACUCCGUGCCAGCAGCCGCGGUAAUACGGAGGGUGCGAGCGUUAAUCGGAAUUACUGGGCGUAAAGCGCGCGUAGGCGGUCUGAUAAGCCGGUUGUGAAAGCCCCGGGCUCAACCUGGGAACGGCAUCCGGAACUGUCAGGCUAGAGUGCAGGAGAGGAAGGUAGAAUUCCCGGUGUAGCGGUGAAAUGCGUAGAGAUCGGGAGGAAUACCAGUGGCGAAGGCGGCCUUCUGGACUGACACUGACGCUGAGGUGCGAAAGCGUGGGUAGCAAACAGGAUUAGAUACCCGAGUAGUC